AGACCUGCACUCUGUACAGCAUGGCUACUGACCAACUCAUGGUUAAAUGCGUAGGAGAAACUGAAGCACAGCUGAGGUGCCCACCAUCAGUAGAGCUAGGCCAGCAUCAGAGGAAGCUGGGCCUCCAAGCCCUUCUCGGACUCAGAAUCCUCCCAGCAGAUACCCAGGCAGAGGAGUGUGAACUCUCAGCCCCUAAAAAGGACUGCCCUGUGAGGCAGGCUCACAAGUGCCUAGAGGAUCUUCUGUACUGACUACAAGCCUCUAAGUGAAGAAGCAAAACAGGCUCUGGAUCUUGGAGGUCCUUGAAUUCUCCUGGGGCUCAACUUGAGGAUGCUCACGGCUCAGGCCUGAGAGGGGAGAAGCAUAGUGGGCAGGCAUCUCCUCUCUGAUCACCUACUUAGGUUUUGGUUCCCCAAGGAUGAUUUGCUGCCAUCCUGCUCAGGAGUGUGUGAAAAACACAGAAUGACAGGUGCCACUCCAGGCCCACUAAAUUCAAAUCUCUUGGGACAGGGCUUGGGAUUCUGCAUUGUCACCAGGGCCAUGCAUAGGCAAGUUAAAGUU
This is a long non-coding RNA of Homo sapiens (human), 561 nucleotides long. Lineage: Eukaryota; Metazoa; Chordata; Mammalia; Primates; Hominidae. The record is from Ensembl.